UCCUCCGUAGCUCAAUGGCAGAGCAUUCGGCUGUUAACCGAAGGGUUACUGGUUCGAGUCCAGUCGGAGGAGCCA
This 75-nucleotide transfer RNA is filed under the name Allosaccharopolyspora coralli. RNAcentral describes it as "Saccharopolyspora coralli tRNA-Asn". It matches the Rfam family "tRNA". Rfam says of the family: Transfer RNA (tRNA) molecules are approximately 80 nucleotides in length. The record is from RNAcentral. Lineage: Bacteria; Bacillati; Actinomycetota; Actinomycetes; Pseudonocardiales; Pseudonocardiaceae.